UUGACUCUGCGGUUCUCGUGAUGAGUCAGCACACGGGGCGAGCCAACACCUCAAAAACGGGAGCUGGACCAAGUGAUGUGGAUGUGGUAGCCCUUCGGGCAAGACGGAAGCGUCCAGUCCGCACCCACCUGCUUACGCAGGUUCGUACCCACUGACCACACGGUUCUGCGGAGUUAUU
This 178-nucleotide non-coding RNA is filed under the name Chloroflexota bacterium. Its description in RNAcentral is "Chloroflexi bacterium (anaerobic digester metagenome) 6S RNA". It matches the Rfam family "6S / SsrS RNA". From Rfam's summary of the family: E. coli 6S RNA was the first non coding RNA to be sequenced, but its function was unknown until recently. It consists of 184 nucleotides that fold into an extended hairpin structure with a large single-stranded internal bulge. Lineage: Bacteria; Bacillati; Chloroflexota. The record is from RNAcentral.